AUUGAACGCUGGCGGCAGGCCUAACACAUGCAAGUCGAGCGAGCGGCGGCCGGGUGAGUAAUGUCUGGGAAUCUGCCUGAUGGUGGGGGAUAACUACCGGAAACGGUAGCUAAUACCGCAUACCAUCGGAUGUGCCUAGAUGGGAUUAGCUAGUUGGUGGGGUAAAGGCUUACCUAGGCGACGAUCCCUAGCUGGUCUGAGAGGAUGAUCAGCCACACUGGAACUGAGACACGGUCCAGACUCCUACGGGAGGCAGCAGUGGGGAAUAUUGCACAAUGGGCGCAAGCCUGAUGCAGCCAUGCCGCGUGUAUGAAGAAGGCCUUCGGGUUGUAAAGUACUUUCAGCUGGGAGGCGUUACCAGAAGAAGAAGCACCGGCUAACUCCGUGCCAGCAGCCGCGGUAAUAC
RNAcentral lists this ribosomal RNA (406 nucleotides) under uncultured bacterium. Its description in RNAcentral is "partial 16S ribosomal RNA". It matches the Rfam family "Bacterial small subunit ribosomal RNA", at positions 30 to 526 of the family's 1533-position model. The record is from RNAcentral.